Long non-coding RNA from Ipomoea triloba (trilobed morning glory), 1959 nucleotides. RefSeq lists it as uncharacterized. The record is from RefSeq and is a predicted model, not a curated record. NCBI's taxonomy places the organism in Eukaryota, Viridiplantae, Streptophyta, Magnoliopsida, Solanales, Convolvulaceae. The transcript has 2 exons.
CCCUACUUCCCCCCAGAUCUCAGAUCCGCUCCUCUCACUGUCUCACUCUCCGUCUCUCCCUUCUCACCCUCUCACUCAGAUGACGCCAGCCUCCACCACGAACCGCCGCCACCGCCACCUCUGAUUGCUUCGUCGUUUCUUCCGAUUUGACGCCACCGUCGACGCUGCGCUGCCACAGCCUCCCCUGCGAAGACGCCGACGCUGCCACCACCUCUGCCCCAGCCCUCACCGUUGACAGUCCCACUGCCUCGCCACUCGCCAGUCCACUACGGCGCUGCGCCGCUGCCUGUCCACCGCCUCCCACCGCAUCGCCUCCGCCUGUCCGCCUCGGCCCUCGCCAGUCGCCUCGAGCCCUCGACACCAGCUGCCGCCCAUCAGACACUUUGGAAAGCUGUGCCACAUUAUCUACAACGUGUUAGCAAUGCUCUGAAGAAUGCUUCUUUUCAGCUGAUAUUUUGGAUACUGUGAUUGAAAUUUUAAGGUAUUGUAUGAUAUGCCCUUUUAACAUUUCAGCAUACUGGAAGAAGUCUUCGAUUGACAUGCACACCGAUUGCUAAUUCACUGCUUACUGAAUGCUGAUUCACAUUAACAUAUUACUGAUUAAUGUUGAUUAAUUGAUACAAUUGAUAUAAUGUUGAUUCAUUGAUUAUGCUUUAGUGCUUAUGUUUAUGUUGAUUUGCUAAUUAGUAAGUUAGUUAUCAUUUGUCAAGAAGCAAUUGGAGUCAUUCUGCAGCAUUCUAAUGCUCGUGUUUAUAUAAUGUCAUUGUAAGUUCUAAAUUGGUUUCUCUUAAUUCUUCCAUCUCUGCCUACAUACUUUAUUGAAGUGUAAGCAUUUAUGUGUGUGUGUUUAGACACCUUGAAUGGUCUCAACUCUAUCACAUCUGCUACUUGCAUAUGACUAAGCAGUUUGUCCAUUUUAUCAAUUUCGCUUAGUUACAACUUUAAACUUUAAAUAAAGGAAUAAAUAGCUUGAAUUGGUUAUAUUAUUGUAUGUGUAUAUAUUUGUUCCCUCUUUGUAUGUGGGUAGUCAAAUGUAUUUUGAUAUUUAAUGAAUUGUUGGUUGUGUAUUAUUAUGAUGAAGGAAAACUAGAAUGCUAUCACAAGGAGGUAAGGAUGUUUUAAUAAAAUCUGUUUUACAAUCAUUUUUUUGCAUUAUUGUUCUUUCUUGUUUUUGAUUCUUUGUGUGUAAGAUAGUGAUCGAAAGAGAAGCAUUCUUGGUGAUCCUCCACCUUCACCAAUGGCAAUGGCAGAGAUUGCUCACCCUCCUAUGGAGCAACUCCAGGACCUCGAGUAUUGCAUAGACUCCAACCCUCCAUGGCGUACUUUCCCCUCUCUCUCUCGGUAUGUAUAUAUAUGUAUAUGUGUCCCAUUUCUUUCACUGUGUAUAUGUGCGUGUAUAGGGUAUGCGCUUGUUGUGUAUGUAGAAUGGUUUGAUUGUGAAGGGACAACAUUGUUUGCCAUUUGUGGGUAUCGAAAUGUACUAGGUAACUCUGUGUGGUCUACCCUUGUUUAGCGGUUUCAGUUGAUGUCAAUACUAGCUCUUUGGUCAUUUAGCUUAUUGACAUUCUUAUUGACAUUCUCUUUUGUUGUUCAAAAUGUUGUCAGAUUUUUUUUCCCAUGAUUUGGUUCUUGUUACAUUGCACUCGGUUCUGCUGUGUGUCAUGAUGAAUUUUAGCAAAAUGGGCAUCUGUUAACAGGAAAGCCACUGCUGGUUUGGGUGCUGUUGCUAAAUUGAUGACAAUGGCUGACACUUGGAAAGAUUCAAUUUUUCUAUGAGCAUUUUUUUUUUUAGUUUUUCCUUUUUGGGGAUGAAUGUAUUGUAUUGUUUCUUGACUUUUAAAAUUCACCAUCAAACUUUUGAAUGGUUUAGAAUGAGUUAUCCAGAAUGUAUAAGAAGUUUAUUGUAUAUUCAUGAAUGAAUUCUCAUCAUGGAAAUGAAAUGUGUCUGUCUUUCAACAA